GAUGAACGCUGGCGGCGUGCUUAACACAUGCAAGUCGAACGGGAUUACAGGAAGGUUUACCGGAAUGUAAUCUAGUGGCGGACGGGUGAGUAACGCGUGAGGAUCUGUCCUUAUCUGGGGGACAACAGUUGGAAACGACUGCUAAUACCCCAUAGGCCGCAAGGUGAAAGGCGUAAGCCGGAGAGGGAGGAACUCGCGUCCUAUCAGCUAGUAGGCGAGGUAAGAGCUCACCUAGGCGAUGACGGGUAGCCGGCCUGAGAGGGCGCACGGCCACACUGGAACUGAGAUACGGUCCAGACUCCUACGGGAGGCAGCAGUGGGGAAUAUUGGGCAAUGGGGGCAACCCUGACCCAGCGACGCCGCGUGAGGGAUGAAAUCUCUUGGGAUGUAAACCUCUGUUGUACGGGAAGAAAAAAAUGACGGUACCGUACGAGGAAGCCCCGGCAAACUACGUG
RNAcentral lists this ribosomal RNA (455 nucleotides) under uncultured organism. RNAcentral describes it as "bacterial SSU rRNA". It matches the Rfam family "Bacterial small subunit ribosomal RNA", at positions 28 to 507 of the family's 1533-position model. The record is from RNAcentral.